Molecule: transfer RNA, 73 nt
Filed under: Cordylochernes scorpioides
Lineage: Eukaryota; Metazoa; Arthropoda; Arachnida; Pseudoscorpiones; Chernetidae
Description: tRNA-Asn
Rfam family: tRNA
About the family: Transfer RNA (tRNA) molecules are approximately 80 nucleotides in length.
Source: RNAcentral
UCCAGGGUAACCUAGUGGACAUGGCAUCUGCCCGUUAAGCGGAACACUGUGGGUUCGAUUCCCAUCCCUGGAC